CAGGGAUUGCCUCAGUAACGGCGAGUGAAGCGGCAACAGCUCAAAUUUGAAAGCUGGUACUUUUAGUGCCCGCGUUGUAAUUUGUAGAGGAUGUUUCGGGUGCGGCGCCGGUCUAAGUUCUUUGGAACAAGACGUCAUAGAGGGUGAGAAUCCCGUAUGUGACUGGUUGCCUGUGCCUAUGUGAAACUCCUUCGACGAGUCGAGUAGUUUGGGAAUGCUGCUCAAAAUGGGAGGUGUAUUUCUUCUAAAGCUAAAUAUUGGCCAGAGACCGAUAGCGCACAAGUAGAGUGAUCGAAAGAUGAAAAGCACUUUGGAAAGAGAGUUAAACAGUACGUGAAAUUGUUGAAAGGGAAGCGCUUGCAAUCAGACUUGCGCGGCGUCGAUCAGCCUGGGUUCUCCCUGGUGUACUCGGCGCCGCUCAGGCCAGCAUCAGUUUCGGCGGUGGGAUAAAGGCCUAGGGAACGUGGGUUGCCUCGGCGACCGUUAUAGCCCUAGGUGCAAUGCCGCCUGCUGGGACUGAGGACCGCGCUUCGGCUAGGAUGCUGGCGUAAUGGUUGUAAGCGACCCGUCUUGAAACACGGACCAAGGAGUCUAACAUCUAUGCGAGUGUUUGGGUGUCAAACCCAUACGCGUAAUGAAAGUGAACGGAGGUGAGAACCCUUAAGGGUGCAUCAUCGACCGAUCCUGAUGUCUUCGGAUGGAUUUGAGUACGAGCAUAGCUGUUGGGACCCGAAAGAUGGUGAACUAUGCCUGAAUAGGGUGAAGCCAGGGGAAACCCUGGUGGAGGCUCGCAGCGGUUCUGACGUGCAAAUCGAUCGUCAAAUUUGGGUAUAGGGGCGAAAGACUAAUCGAACCAUUCGUCAGACAUUUUUGGCUACUGGUGGUUGAGAGAUAUAUGAAAUGCUUAUAUCUAGUUUCUUUUAGAAGCUAUACUGCAAAAGUGCGGGGACCCUCUUAUUGCCUAAAUUACUGCCUGCCGAAUCGAAAGGUCCGGUUGGCACCAGUCAUCACUGGGUAUAGUAAUAAUAUUUAGGAUUGAGUUAUCCGCAGCCAUAUUCUACGGUUGAUUACCGAAAUCUUCUAUGGAUAGGGUUCAUCGACUAGAUGGCAGUGGGUUCAGAUUUCGACCAAAUCUGAUGCCUAAGGUAUAGUCAGACUGCGGUAGCAAUAUCGUAAGAUCAAUCAGGACAACUUAUCUGGGCUUUACAAUGUUUCAAGGGCUUUGAAAGAUAGGGGAUGGUAGAGGAUCUUUUGAAAGUGGCUUGUAGUACUGCCCGGUUCCGUUUUCCAAUUCCGCCCAGGAGUUUGGGAUCGGGGAUUGUCCUGUGAGAUCAUAAUG
This 1339-nucleotide ribosomal RNA is filed under the name Lophodermium eucalypti. Its description in RNAcentral is "eukaryotic LSU rRNA". It matches the Rfam family "Eukaryotic large subunit ribosomal RNA", at positions 69 to 1830 of the family's 3401-position model. The record is from RNAcentral. Lineage: Eukaryota; Fungi; Ascomycota; Leotiomycetes; Rhytismatales; Rhytismataceae.